ACGAACGCUGGCGGCGUGCUUAACACAUGCAAGUCGAACGGAAAGGCCCUGCUUUUGUGGGGUGCUCGAGUGGCGAACGGGUGAGUAACACGUGAGUAACCUGCCCUUGACUUUGGGAUAACUUCAGGAAACUGGGGCUAAUACCGGAUAGGAGCUCCUGCUGCAUGGUGGGGGUUGGAAAGUUUCGGCGGUUGGGGAUGGACUCGCGGCUUAUCAGCUUGGUGGUGGGGUAGUGGCUUACCAAGGCUUUGACGGGUAGCCGGCCUGAGAGGGUGACCGGCCACAUUGGGACUGAGAUACGGCCCAGACUCCUACGGGAGGCAGCAGUGGGGAAUAUUGCACAAUGGGCGGAAGCCUGAUGCAGCAACGCCGCGUGCGGGAUGACGGCCUUCGCGUUGUAAACCGCUUUCGCCUGUGACGAAGCGUGAGUGACGGUAAUGGGUAAAGAAGCACCGGCUAACUACGUG
RNAcentral lists this ribosomal RNA (467 nucleotides) under uncultured bacterium. RNAcentral's name for it is "partial 16S ribosomal RNA". It matches the Rfam family "Bacterial small subunit ribosomal RNA", at positions 29 to 507 of the family's 1533-position model. The record is from RNAcentral.